CUCAAAUAGAUCACCCAAACAACCCCUUAGCGUCUAUUUUCUUCGUCGGCGGGGUUUCCAGACAUAGGUUAGCUUUGACGGUGAUCGAUGAGGAUGCAAUCUAGGGUUUUGUUUGGUAAACUUGAUAUGCCCUAGAAUAUCAAUCUAUGGCUUGAAAGAUCAUUUUUUCAAGAAUGGGUGAAGUUCCAUCUCUGUAUACUUUAUGUAUGGUUGCAAUUAAGAAAGAAAUUCUUAGCGAUGAUGAUACUCUUCCACCGCAUGUAUAUGAAAUUCCAUCGGAUUUAUUUGAUAGCUUGCUGACAUUUUUACCUCCAUUGGCCUUGCAAAAGAUACAAGAACAAAUGUCAGUUUAAAAAACUCACUCUAAUUUCCUCACUUAAUUACGUAUACUAGUUUUU
Molecule: non-coding RNA, 398 nt
Organism: Camellia sinensis
Lineage: Eukaryota; Viridiplantae; Streptophyta; Magnoliopsida; Ericales; Theaceae
Source: RefSeq, a predicted model, not a curated record